AGCCGAUGUCUUUAGCGUACUGCCUGAAGCACUGGCGGCACAUGUUGAGCCCGUAUUUACGGAUCAGACCGUGUCUGUUCGAGCAUACCCGGCUGAAAAAAAGACAUUAAAUAUGGAUUAUAAACGGGGACCGAGAAGCAACACUACUUUAACCGAUGAAGCAGGCGGUGAGCUGAGGAGAUACAAAGAGGAACUACACCAACGGUCAAGUGUAGAGUACAGUGGAUACAGUGCCUACAAAUGCCACCUUGACUGUGUGCAAAGCAGCCAUCAUCACUGUGGCUUUUGCACAAAAGUCUUUGUGAAAAAUGUUUUGUCUGUCAGUUUAAAACCUGCUGCAAGACAGCAACCACAAAUAUUACUGCAACUUUGCCAUCCACGGUGACUCCAGCGUCCACUCCAGCAUCCAUGGUGACUCCAGCGUCCACUCCAGCAUCCAUGGUGACUCCAGUGUCCACUUCAGCAUCCAUGGUGACUCGGUGUCUACAGCAGACCAUCAGAAAUAAAAUGAUGCAAAAAAACAUGUUUUUGCUUGCAGUUAUGGGAGGAAGAGGAAGGCAGAGCAACACUCUAAGACGACCCACCGCCUGUCCUUAGGAUCAACCGUGAAAGAAGGCGCUCAGGCUGCACUGUGGUCAGUAAUACAUGCUACAUGGAUUGUAACAAAAAACUAAAUAACAGAAAUGAACUUGUUGAAUGUUGUUCGUAGAUGUGUCUCAUGAGGAUUAUUUAUUCUUCUUAUUAUUUUAUGUCAUGUUCAUGUGUGUCUUUAGUAUGUGGGCUAUUUGAUUUUUACCCCACACAACACACAUUUUUAGUCUGCUUCCUUGUAGAUUGUUUUAUUUGAUUCAGGAAUGGUUGUUCAUCUGUCUUAAUAAACUUUUGAAAUGG
This is a long non-coding RNA of Solea solea (common sole), 891 nucleotides long. RefSeq lists it as uncharacterized. The transcript is spliced from 3 exons. Lineage: Eukaryota; Metazoa; Chordata; Actinopteri; Pleuronectiformes; Soleidae. The record is from RefSeq and is a predicted model, not a curated record.